Molecule: ribosomal RNA, 446 nt
Filed under: uncultured bacterium
Lineage: Bacteria
Description: bacterial SSU rRNA
Rfam family: Bacterial small subunit ribosomal RNA
Source: RNAcentral
AACGAACGCUGGCGGCAUGCCUAACACAUGCAAGUCGAACGAGACCUUCGGGUCUAGUGGCGCACGGGUGCGUAACGCGUGGGAAUCUGCCCUUGGGUUCGGAAUAACAGCGAGAAAUUGCUGCUAAUACCGGAUGAUGACGUAAGUCCAAAGAUUUAUCGCCCAAGGAUGAGCCCGCGUAGGAUUAGCUAGUUGGUGAGGUAAAGGCUCACCAAGGCGACGAUCCUUAGCUGGUCUGAGAGGAUGAUCAGCCACACUGGGACUGAGACACGGCCCAGACUCCUACGGGAGGCAGCAGUGGGGAAUAUUGGACAAUGGGCGAAAGCCUGAUCCAGCAAUGCCGCGUGAGUGAUGAAGGCCUUAGGGUUGUAAAGCUCUUUUACCCGGGAUGAUAAUGACAGUACCGGGAGAAUAAGCUCCGGCUAACUCCGUGCCAGCAGCCGCGU